This 253-nucleotide ribosomal RNA is filed under the name uncultured bacterium. RNAcentral describes it as "partial 16S ribosomal RNA". It matches the Rfam family "Bacterial small subunit ribosomal RNA", at positions 524 to 776 of the family's 1533-position model. The record is from RNAcentral.
UACGUAGGGUGCGAGCGUUAAUCGGAAUUACUGGGCGUAAAGCGUGCGCAGGCGGUUGUGUAAGACAGGUGUGAAAUCCCCGGGCUUAACCUGGGAACUGCGCUUGUGACUGCACGGCUAGAGUACGGCAGAGGGGGGUGGAAUUCCACGUGUAGCAGUGAAAUGCGUAGAUAUGCGGAGGAACACCGAUGGCGAAGGCAAUCCCCUGGGCCUGCACUGACGCUCAUGCACGAAAGCGUGGGGAGCAAACAGG